Molecule: long non-coding RNA, 738 nt
Organism: Danio aesculapii
Lineage: Eukaryota; Metazoa; Chordata; Actinopteri; Cypriniformes; Danionidae
Exons: 4
Source: RefSeq, a predicted model, not a curated record
AUUAAGCUUAAUUUGAGAAACCAGUUAAGCUAAUAAAAUUGAGGAAAGAUGGCUUCACGUUUAUUUUAAGAAAAUUCACUCAAUUAUGUGGAUUUGAUUGAGAUGUUUGCAUUUGAAUCUCAACAACGGCAGUGAUCAGACGACAUUUUGAAGGAGCAGAUCAACAGCGAGCAUGUUAAGAGUUUAAUGAAGAAAACGUUUGCAGAGUUUUCCCACUAAAGAGGAGCAGUUUAUUGAGGCAGAUUUUGAUAAAGAGAAUGGGUGCCAUACAUCAGACCUCACAUUAAAUCAGGGAUGAAAUGAGAGAUGUCGUCCUCUGUUGCUGGUUUAUCUGUAUGAAUAAGAUGAAGAGCUCAUCCAGGAGUGCAAUUGUGGGAAUGCACAGAGAAUUGCUGUCUGUCAGAGGGAUGACCAACCAUGAGGACUUCUGCAUUGUCUUGGAGGAUAAGUGAGUCAUGGCUAGCCUGGAAAAUCUAGAAUCGCUGAACUGGAUUUAUACAAAUAUUCCACAAAUUAAAAUCACUUACAAAGAAACGAAUAUUAAGUUUGCAAUACACAAAUUCUGUCAAAUAUUGUCUAAAAUGUGACUAUUCCUACAAAGGAAAGUUGACAGGUCAGUUUUUUCCAUGACAUGGAUAAAGGAAUUUUUAUCAGAGAUUAACAUUGCUGUAAAUUUUAUAUAGAUUUGUUUAACAUAUUGUACCAUUUUGUUAUCAGUGUAACAUGUAAUAAAAUGAU